GACGAACGCUGGCGGCGUGCCUAACACAUGCAAGUCGAACGGAAAGGCCCUGCUUUCGUGGGGUGCUCGAGUGGCGAACGGGUGUGUAACCCGUGAGUCACCUGCCCUUGACUUUGGGACAACCUCAGGAAACCGGGGAUACUACCUGAUAGGAGCUGCUGAUGCAUGGUGGGGGUUGGACCGCUUCGGCGGUUGUGGAUGGACGCGGGGCUUAUCAGCUUGUUGGUGGGGUAGUGGCUUACGAAGGCUUUGACGGAUAGUCGGCCUGGGAGGGGGGCCAGCGACAAGACUACUACGGUACGGCCCAGUCGCCAACGGUAGGCAGCGGUGGGGAAUAUUGCACAAUGGGCGGAAGCCUGAUGCAACAGCGCCGCGAUCGGAAUGACGGCCAUCUGGUGGUAAACCGCUUUCGCCUGUUACGAAGCGUGAGUGACGGUAAUAGGUAAAGAAGCACCGGCUAACUACGUG
RNAcentral lists this ribosomal RNA (468 nucleotides) under uncultured bacterium. RNAcentral's name for it is "partial 16S ribosomal RNA". It matches the Rfam family "Bacterial small subunit ribosomal RNA", at positions 28 to 507 of the family's 1533-position model. The record is from RNAcentral.